This 65-nucleotide transfer RNA is filed under the name Atkinsoniella aurantiaca. RNAcentral's name for it is "tRNA-Leu". Lineage: Eukaryota; Metazoa; Arthropoda; Insecta; Hemiptera; Cicadellidae. The record is from RNAcentral.
UCUAGUAUGGCAGAUUAGUGCGUUGAAUUUAAGAUUCACUUAUAAAUAUUAAUAUUUUAUUAGAA